This 465-nucleotide ribosomal RNA is filed under the name Vreelandella stevensii. RNAcentral describes it as "partial 16S ribosomal RNA". It matches the Rfam family "Bacterial small subunit ribosomal RNA", at positions 338 to 795 of the family's 1533-position model. The record is from RNAcentral. Lineage: Bacteria; Pseudomonadati; Pseudomonadota; Gammaproteobacteria; Oceanospirillales; Halomonadaceae.
CCUACGGGUGGCAGCAGUGGGGAAUAUUGGACAAUGGGCGAAAGCCUGAUCCAGCCAUGCCGCGUGUGUGAAGAAGGCCUUCGGGUUGUAAAGCACUUUCAGUGGGGAAGAAAGCCUUGGGGCUAAUACCCUCGAGGAAGGACAUCACCCACAGAAGAAGCACCGGCUAACUCCGUGCCAGCAGCCGCGGUAAUACGGAGGGUGCGAGCGUUAAUCGGAAUUACUGGGCGUAAAGCGCGCGUAGGCGGUCUGAUAAGCCGGUUGUGAAAGCCCCGGGCUCAACCUGGGAACGGCAUCCGGAACUGUCAGGCUAGAGUGCAGGAGAGGAAGGUAGAAUUCCCGGUGUAGCGGUGAAAUGCGUAGAGAUCGGGAGGAUUAUCAGUGGCGAAGGCGGCCUUCUGGACCGACACUGACGCUGAGGUGCGAAAGCGUGGGUAGCAAACAGGAUUAGAUACCCGAGUAGUC